GGAAACACAAUGAAGCGGAUAUCCGUCAUAGUCUCCUCCAUCAUCAUCUUCCACACCCCCGUCCAACCUUUCAAUGCCCUUGGAGCUGCCAUAGCGAUCCUUGGCACAUUCCUGUAUUCACAGGCAAAGCAGUGAAGAAUCAAGAAUUCCAAGGUUGUGAUGUAAACAUUAGACAAUGGAAGAGUUAGAAUGAAGAUGCUGAGUUUGAUCGGAAUGAUUGGCGGUGGCUUUUGACAGAAAAAAUUGGCGAUGGCUUUCGUUAACAAUCUCUGAUGAUGGCCUUUAGACUAUCAAAGGGAAUCAGCCUUGCUAAGACGGUUAACAGCUGCUUCUUUUUCAAGAUCCUCGCUAGCAUUCUGCAGAGUAAUCUUAUAAUUGCCCUCGACAAAGUAGGUUGCAGUUUCAUUUCCUCUGUAUAAUGUCUGCAUAGUCAAUAAAGAAAAUGUUGGAGACCUUGUUUUGAUGCAAAAAU
Molecule: unclassified non-coding RNA, 472 nt
Filed under: Hevea brasiliensis (rubber tree)
Lineage: Eukaryota; Viridiplantae; Streptophyta; Magnoliopsida; Malpighiales; Euphorbiaceae
Source: RNAcentral